GACGAACGCUGGCGGCGUGCUUAACACAUGCAAGUCGAACGGAAAGGCCCUGCUUUUGUGGGGUGCUCGAGUGGCGAACGGGUGAGUAACACGUGAGUAACCUGCCCUUGACUUUGGGAUAACUUCAGGAAACUGGGGCUAAUACCGGAUAGGAGCUCCUGCUGCAUGGUGGGGGUUGGAAAGUUUCGGCGGUUGGGGAUGGACUCGCGGCUUAUCAGCUUGUUGGUGGGGUAGUGGCUUACCAAGGCUUUGACGGGUAGCCGGCCUGAGAGGGUGACCGGGCACAUUGGGACUGAGAUACGGCCCAGACGCCUACGGGAGGCAGCAGUGGGGAAUAUUGCACAAUGGGCGGAAGCCUGAUGCAGAAACGCCGCGUGCGGGAUGACGGCCUUCGGGUUGUAAACCGCUUUCGCCUGUGACGAAGCGUGAGUGACGGUAAUGGGUAAAGAAGCACCGGCUAACUACGUG
This 468-nucleotide ribosomal RNA is filed under the name uncultured bacterium. Its description in RNAcentral is "partial 16S ribosomal RNA". It matches the Rfam family "Bacterial small subunit ribosomal RNA", at positions 28 to 507 of the family's 1533-position model. The record is from RNAcentral.